Molecule: non-coding RNA, 1665 nt
Organism: Misgurnus anguillicaudatus (oriental weatherfish)
Lineage: Eukaryota; Metazoa; Chordata; Actinopteri; Cypriniformes; Cobitidae
Source: RefSeq, a predicted model, not a curated record
GUUUAAGGCUCGUACAGACUACAUGACUUUGAAACGUAGGUCCGAACUGUGCGGUUCACACUACAUGACUUGCUCUCUGUGAAAUCAGGAGUGUUCACGUUGUUGAGCAGUUCACACCACACGACACAACGUGAAUGCCCCACAACAGGAGGUAACGCACUACACGAGUUGAGAACAACUCUAUUACCCAACGAUUCUAUCUUGUCUACAAACCACGUCCUGUCACGAAAAAUCACGCGAUAAAACAAACCGGAAAUGACGCGAAACAACACGCGCGCCGGUAAAAACCCACAGAAGAAGAAACAAGAAGACGCGCAAAACUUUUGUUUGUAUAUAGACUUCAGACAGAAAUAAGUGCUGCAAACCGUUUGCGCGAUGCAAAGCCGCAAAAGAAAAAAAUAUAGAGAUGUGAUGUGGAGAGGUGGAUCAGAACCACACGCGGACAGCAUGGAUUAAAGAUUUGAGGUGAGUACAGCUUGUUUAUAUAGGAAAUACAGCUGCAUGCUUAUGUUUGGCUAUGAUCACAUUUAAAAUAACAAAGUGUUGUUUACUGUGCCUAAAAGCUGUGUUUCUUGAUUUAAUUAUCGUUCAAAUGGAAUAAGACAGGCUUCGCAAAACAUCAUUUGGAGAGCGUUUGUCUUUGACCCUGCGAUUCUAUGCAACAGGUGACACGUUCAAGUUCAUCAGGUUCAAGUCCAGGAUGGGAGACCAGCACCAUCUCACAAAUAGUUUUGGAUGUUAUGCUCUGUACCAGGUUAUAAAGGACGAUUUCUUGAAGACGCCAUCAACGGAAGGAGAGUGGCAUACAAUAGCCAUGGACUUCGAAAGGAAGUGGCAGUUUCCACAUUGCUUUGGGGUACUUGCUACCACUCCAGCUGUAGCAGACUGCUGACCACAACAUGGUUGAUGGGCAGUGGAAGAAUCAUGGGAUGUGUGCUUUUCAACCGAUAAAAUACACCUCACAUCGCAAUUGUAUGGCAACAGCAAAAGUGCAACGCAAUCUGAUGCGGGGCUACUUUGUCUCACCAGCGGGUAGUGUUUAUUGGCAAGUUCAACACAUUUUAAAAGGAACUGAUGUAGAGUUAUCCCUGCAAACAGCAGAUUAAAGCCAGUUAUUGUCAGUUUAGGACAUUCGUUUUCUUGUGUGUUCUAAAGUCCUGUAUUUGUAAAGAACACACACGUGGUUCACUUAUUCAUUGUUUUAAGUAUUCUGUUUAUUGUUGUUAUUAUUCAAUUAAUUUUAAUUGCAUACAAAUCAAAAGGUGCAGGAAUGUAACAAAGGCAAUCUGCAUGUUGCAAUUAAGUGCCUUAUACUAACUUUAUUUCUUGAUCCACACUCAUUAUUCACAGAACAUUAACAAUGUUUCUAUAAUAGGGCGAUUAAACAUCAACAUAUCUGAUCAUGAUAAAAUUUAUGGCGAUUGUGAUGAUAAGCUCUGGGCAUUUUUACUCAAUGUGGAUUAAUCUAACAGCCAAUCACACACAAUUAUAUUAUGAUAUUUAUAUCUCACCCAGCCCUUAAAGGAGCUCUACACAGGGAGUUUUGUAAUGUUUAAUUGUGUUAAUGUGGCGCACUGCAUGUGUUCUAACAAUGUAUAUAUUUGUCUGUUCACAUAAUAUACAUUCAAAUGUACUACAUUGCACUAAAGCACUUUUCAUAUUGCC